CUCUCUCAAAAUCCCUAAACUCCAAAAGGAAAACAGAGCGAAAUCGCGUUCAACUUCUGCAAUUCUAUCUAUCAAAAUCCCCAAGCUCUGAAAGGAAAACAGAUCGAAAUAGCGUUCAACUUCUGCAAUUCGAUCCAUUACAAUGCCUAGAAAUGUCAAUUCUGUCCUCCACACCAGCAAUCUCUUCGCCGAUUUCAGGUAAUAUUGGAGAGGGUAGAGCAUUUUGGUCAGUCAGUUUCUAUAUACGAAGAUCAAAUAUUUUAAAAAAGAGCUCGUAUUCAGCAGGUGCCGGCACGGGUAUUUCCAUGUGGUGAACUGUGACUACACUCACUGGGAGAUGUAUGCGAUUGGCGAAAGUGCAAAUCCCACCAUCAAUAGCCAGGGCAACAGAUAUCUUGCCCCGACGAAUCGCUUUACCAAGGAGGUAAUGUAACCGUAACAAUUGAAUUCUCUAACAUCUCCACUACCAUAAACUGCAUUUACAAAUUGAAAAAUGGUAUG
This is a long non-coding RNA of Magnolia sinica, 501 nucleotides long. RefSeq lists it as uncharacterized. Lineage: Eukaryota; Viridiplantae; Streptophyta; Magnoliopsida; Magnoliales; Magnoliaceae. The transcript has 3 exons. The record is from RefSeq and is a predicted model, not a curated record.